RNAcentral lists this transfer RNA (62 nucleotides) under Membranacea stenoprocessa. RNAcentral describes it as "tRNA-Pro". Lineage: Eukaryota; Metazoa; Arthropoda; Insecta; Hemiptera; Cicadellidae. The record is from RNAcentral.
CAACAAAUAGUUUAUUAAAAUUUAAUCUUUGGAAGUUUAAGAAGUGUUAUCCACUUUGUUGA